ACGGGAGGCAGCAGCUAAGAAUAUUCCGCAAUGGACGAAAGUCUGACGGAGCGACGCCGCGUGGAUGAUGAAGGCCGGAAGGUUGUAAAAUCCUUUUAUAACUGAGGAAUAAGUAAGGUGAGAGAAACGCCUUAUGGUGACUGUAGGUUAUGAAUAAGCAACGGCUAAUUACGUGCCAGCAGCCGCGGUAACACGUAAGUUGCGAGCGUUGUUCGGAAUUAUUGGGCGUAAAGGGCAUGUAGGCGGUUUUGCAAGCUUGGUGUGAAAUCCCGGAGCUUAACUCCGGAAUUGCGUUGAGAACUGCAUAACUAGAGUCACUGAGGGGCAAUCAGAAUUCCAGGUGUAGGGGUGAAAUCUGUAGAUAUCUGGAAGAAUACCAAUGGCGAAGGCAGGUUACCAGCAGAUGACUGACGUUGAGGCUCGAAAGCGUGGGGAGCAAACAGGAUUAGAUACCCAGGUA
Molecule: ribosomal RNA, 460 nt
Filed under: uncultured Treponema sp.
Lineage: Bacteria; Pseudomonadati; Spirochaetota; Spirochaetia; Treponematales; Treponemataceae
Description: partial 16S ribosomal RNA
Rfam family: Bacterial small subunit ribosomal RNA
Source: RNAcentral